This 478-nucleotide ribosomal RNA is filed under the name uncultured bacterium. RNAcentral's name for it is "partial 16S ribosomal RNA". It matches the Rfam family "Bacterial small subunit ribosomal RNA", at positions 28 to 523 of the family's 1533-position model. The record is from RNAcentral.
GACGAACGCUGGCGGCGUGCUUAACACAUGCAAGUCGAACGGUAAGGCCCUUCGGGGUACACGAGUGGCGAACGGGUGAGUAACACGUGGGUGAUCUGCCCUGCACUUCGGGAUAAGCCUGGGAAACUGGGUCUAAUACCGGAUAGGACCACUGCCUGCAUGGGUGGUGGUGGAAAGCUUUUGCGGUGUGGGAUGGGCCCGCGGCCUAUCAGCUUGUUGGUGGGGUGAUGGCCUACCAAGGCGACGACGGGUAGCCGGCCUGAGAGGGUGACCGGCCACACUGGGAGUGAAAUACGGCCCAGACUCCUACGGGAGGCAGCAGUGGGGAAUAUUGCACAAUGGGCGCAAGCCUGAUGCAGCGACGCCGCGUGAGGGAUGACGGCCUUCGGGUUGUAAACCUCUUUCAGCACCGACGAAGCGCAAGUGACGGUAGGUGCAGAAGAAGGACCGGCCAACUACGUGCCAGCAGCCGCCGUAA